UACGUAGGGACCGAGCGUUGUCCGGAAUCAUUGGGCGUAAAGAGCGUGUAGGCGGCCUUUUAAGUCCUGCGUGAAAUCCUGCGGCUCAACCGCAGACGGUCGUGGGAAACUGGAAGGCUAGAGUGCGGGAGAGGAGAGUGGAAUUCCCGGUGUAGCGGUGAAAUGCGCAGAUAUCGGGAAGAACACCCGUGGCGAAGGCGGCUCUCUGGAACGCAACUGACGCUGAGACGCGAAAGCGUGGGGAGCAAACAGG
Molecule: ribosomal RNA, 253 nt
Filed under: uncultured bacterium
Lineage: Bacteria
Description: partial 16S ribosomal RNA
Rfam family: Bacterial small subunit ribosomal RNA
Source: RNAcentral